UACGGAGGGUGCAAGCGUUACCCGGAAUCACUGGGCGUAAAGGGCGUGUAGGCGGGAUGUUAAGUCUGGGUUUAAAGACAGAAGCUCAACUUCUGGAUUGGCUUGGAUACUGGCAUUCUAGACGACUGGAGGGGAGAGUGGAAUUCUCGGUGUAGCGGUGGAAUGCGUAGAUACCGAGAGGAACACCAGUGGCGAAGGCGGCUCUCUGGACAGUGCGUGACGCUGAGGCGCGAAAGUGUGGGGAGCGAACCGG
Molecule: ribosomal RNA, 253 nt
Filed under: uncultured bacterium
Lineage: Bacteria
Description: partial 16S ribosomal RNA
Rfam family: Bacterial small subunit ribosomal RNA
Source: RNAcentral